Molecule: long non-coding RNA, 3126 nt
Organism: Pan troglodytes (chimpanzee)
Lineage: Eukaryota; Metazoa; Chordata; Mammalia; Primates; Hominidae
Exons: 3
Source: RefSeq, a predicted model, not a curated record
GCUCUACGAGGGGCUGACGGGUGAGGAAAUACCUGCAGACGGUGCCGCCCAACCCUCCUAGGAGACGCCACCUCGCGUGCACAGCUGCCUCUACGCCUGCAUCUAGGCUCGCCUGGCCUCUCGCUACAACAUGUCGGCUGGGUACAGCGAGAGCCGCCUCCUGUAGAGCUGCCAGGGAGCUGCCAGGAAGCUCCCGGGGCCAGCCUGCGUCCGGGCCACCCGCGGGCGCCCGCGGCCGCAAGCCGGGCAGGGCUGGGCAAUGCCCUUUCUACUCCAGGAGGCACCCGAAUCAUCCCCUUCAACUAGGGGUGGAGGCAUGGACGGAUGGGAUUUUACAGCUUUGAUUAUCUAAUUGCAGCUGACACUAAACCGAUCUUCCUUCCUCUUUAAAUUCUUUCGAUUGUCACAAACAUUUUCACUUCAGGACCCAGUUACAAUUAGCAUCACAGCCACUUUUCUUCUGUGUUUUUGAAAGUCAGCCAAAAGAAUAACGGCAUUUUGCCUAUUGGCUGCAGGCGAAUAAACUGCGGCUCUCUCAUCCUGCCUUUGUUUUCCGCUCCUUCUUUCUCCCUUUUUCUAAACAACUCCUAAACAUUUGGCAUGCCAACACUAGCUGUAAUAUUCUAAAUGAGCCCCAUAUGUAAACUGGCAAGUGUCCAGCUUCUUAAUUACUUUCCUGCCUCUAUCUAAAAAAGAUCUAAGUAGCAAACACUGCCGUAUAUUAAUCAAAGCCUCUGUUUAUAAAUGUACAAAGCAGCCACCAAAACAAUACAUUGUUCUGCCUUUGGCACAAGAAGUUAUUAUUAUUAUUAUUUUUUUUUAAAGAUAAAAGCUCUCAAGUGUUUCAAGCUGGAGCUAUCCUGCAGACUUGCAAAACAUAAUCUGCACUGAACCUGACAUGAUCAGGUGGCAUUCUUUGGAAUCUCUGGAAAUCACUGUACGUACUAAUACUCAUCUUCCCAGUUAAGAUCUGUUGCUAUUUGGCUAAAUAUACUCCCAUCCAAAUCAAUACAUGAAUUUACAAAUCUACUUUCCCCUGUAUUAUUUUAUGAGAAGGCCAAUGUUUCAUUUGCUGGUAACAGUCUUUACCUAAAGAGAACCUGGAACCAGGGCUGGGAGGCACCCUGGCCUACCUGUCUUGCAGAAGCCCUUCCACCAUUGGCAAUAACUGACUAUCUCUCCUUGGCUACUGCCAGUGAAGGGGGAAGGAAUAAAAGUUCUUCCAGAAAUCUGAAAACCCUGCCUACCACCCUACAUUUCCGCCACUCUUGUUCCACCUCUGUCCUCUGGGGCUGCCUGGGGGCAGCGGGCUCUCAGGACAGCCCUUUGACAGCUGAAAUGCCCACAGGCCCUCCUCCUCUCGGGCUUGUUGUAGGCUCCCCUCUGUUGUUCUCCCAGUCCUUAGGGGGCAUUUCUAGGCCUUUAUUGCCCUGUCUGCUCUGGAUGCCCUUGUGUGCAAGCCUGUGUUUCCCACGAGGGAUGGCAGCCACAGGAUGCUGCCUGAGAACAGUCACAGCAUUAACCACUGGCAGGAGGGUCAGCUGGACGCUGGAAAGCUCCAUUUAGAAUUGUCAGCCCAUUACAAAAUUGGUUUCACUUGACUGAAUUUCACUUCAACAUCAGCAUUAUCGAAUAUUAAAAGCAUCUAGGACUUAUUUUUGCAUGCAAGUAUUAGAAGUCUUGGUUACCUUCUAAAAUGGGAUACUUGUUGACAUCAAUAACGCUACAAAACCAAUGAAGCUUCUGCCCAAUGCCCGGGCCAACGUGGGUGACGGCAAGAAGGUCUUGCUGUGUUGUCCAUGCUGGUCUUGAAUUCCUGGGCUCAAGCGAUCCUUCUCCCUCAGCCUGUCAGGUAGCUGGGAUUUGUGAACACUCUGCUUCACAAUGGUGUUUCAAAGAUGGUUAAAUCCAUGGAUGCGGAAGCCACAGAUAAGGAGUGCCAACUACACUUGUACUUCUACCUGUCAUUUUGCCUUUUAAAAGACUCGAAAUGAAGAAAAUGCACCAGAACUCAAAACCUGAUGGAAACAAUUAGGCAAGGACUCAGAAGCAAAGAAUUUGAGCUGACGGGAACCUUAGAAAUCAUCCAGUCCCACCCUCGUCUGCACAGACUCAGGCAACCGAGAUGAUAUGGCUGAGAUGACUGACCCAGCUACCACUGGGACUAGAACUCACAUCUCUGACCAUGCUUUUCCACCAUGCUGCUGUUAAUCUUUCUUAAAUGACUGAAGGACAAAUUCGGGGUUGUUUUUCUUCAAAACCUUCAGAGGAAAAGGAGUUCAUGCUACAGAAAGGAAGAAGUAAGCAAAUCAUAAAUGAAUGUUAUCAGUCCAUUUUUCAAUAUAAACCACCAAAUUCUAAGACAUUUGGAUAUGGAAUAUGGUUUCCUGUGUGCUACCUGCCUGAUGCAUUAUGUGUAGUCAAUCUUAUAUCUAAGACAGACUCAUUUUUAAAGAGUCAAAGUAUUCCUAACCAGUCUUCCCUUUCCACCUUGAAUAACUGUUAUGUGAGUAGGGCAGGACUGGCAGGUGAACUAAGAAUGCCCCUUACAUUUUUAAAGGAUGGGGGAAAAACUCAAAGACAAAUAUAUGACAGAGACCAUAUAUGGCCAGCAAAGUCUAAAAUUCUGGGAAUGACCUUGGUGAGAGUCUCACUGCCUCUGGGCAUCUUUUUGGCCCAAAGGCUAGACCUACAGGAAAAGGGCCAGAUACUAAUAGAGUUCCAACUACUUGUAAUAUUAGACUAUCAGACAUAGAAACCUUCCAGAGGAAAAAUCCUGGUAAUAUAUCCCAAAGUCUUAUGUAGGUAUUGUUUUAUUUUAAUUAAAAAAAUUAUAAAUAAAUAGACCAGGCAUGGUGGCUCACACCUUUAAUCCCAGCACUUUGGGAGGCCGAGGCAGGCAGAUCACCUGAAGUCAGGAGUUCAAGACCAGCCUGGCCAACAUGGUGAAACCCCAUCUCUACUAAAAAUACCAAAAUUAGCUGGGCAUGGGGGCAUACCCCUGUAAUUCCAGCUACUUGGAAGGCUGAGGCAGAAUAAUGACUUGAGCCAGGGAGGCAGAGGUUGCAGUGAGCCGAGACUGCGCCAUUGCACUCCAGCCUGGGUGACAGAGUGAGACUCCAUCUC